Molecule: ribosomal RNA, 506 nt
Filed under: uncultured bacterium
Lineage: Bacteria
Description: partial 16S ribosomal RNA
Rfam family: Bacterial small subunit ribosomal RNA
Source: RNAcentral
AGUGAACGCUGGCGGCAGGCCUAACACAUGCAAGUCGAACGGCAGCACAGAGGAGCUUGUUCCUUGGGUGGCGAGUGGCGGACGGGUGAGGAAUACAUCGGAAUCUGCCUAUUUGUGGGGGAUAACGUAGGGAAACUUACGCUAAUACCGCAUACGACCUACGGGUGAAAGCGGAGGACCUUCGGGCUUCGCGCAGAUAGAUGAGCCGAUGUCGGAUUAGCUAGUUGGCGGGGUAAAGGCCCACCAAGGCGACGAUCCGUAGCUGGUCUGAGAGGAUGAUCAGCCACACUGGAACUGAGACACGGUCCAGACUCCUACGGGAGGCAGCAGUGGGGAAUAUUGGACAAUGGGCGCAAGCCUGAUCCAGCCAUGCCGCGUGGGUGAAGAAGGCCUUCGGGUUGUAAAGCCCUUUUGUUGGGAAAGAAAAGCAGCCGGUUAAUACCCGGUUGUUCUGACGGUACCCAAAGAAUAAGCACCGGCUAACUUCGUGCCAGCCGCCGCCGUAA